Molecule: ribosomal RNA, 497 nt
Filed under: Bipolaris zeae
Lineage: Eukaryota; Fungi; Ascomycota; Dothideomycetes; Pleosporales; Pleosporaceae
Description: eukaryotic LSU rRNA
Rfam family: 5.8S ribosomal RNA (bases 125-278)
Source: RNAcentral
GCACCCAUGUCUUUUGCGCACUUGUUGUUUCCUGGGCGGGUUCGCCCGCCACCAGGACCAAACCAUAAACCUUUUUUUUUAUGCAGUUGCAAUCAGCGUCAGUAAAAACAAUGUAAUUAAUUACAACUUUCAACAACGGAUCUCUUGGUUCUGGCAUCGAUGAAGAACGCAGCGAAAUGCGAUACGUAGUGUGAAUUGCAGAAUUCAGUGAAUCAUCGAAUCUUUGAACGCACAUUGCGCCCUUUGGUAUUCCAAAGGGCAUGCCUGUUCGAGCGUCAUUUGUACCUUCAAGCUUUGCUUGGUGUUGGGCGUUUUUGUCUCCCUCUUUCUGGGAGACUCGCCUUAAAACGAUUGGCAGCCGGCCUACUGGUUUCGGAGCGCAGCACAUAAUUUGCGCUUUGUAUCAGGAGAAAAGGACGGUAAUCCAUCAAGACUCUACAUUUUUAACUUUUGACCUCGGAUCAGGUAGGGAUACCCGCUGAACUUAAGCAUAUCAA